RNAcentral lists this ribosomal RNA (447 nucleotides) under uncultured bacterium. Its description in RNAcentral is "partial 16S ribosomal RNA". It matches the Rfam family "Bacterial small subunit ribosomal RNA", at positions 329 to 793 of the family's 1533-position model. The record is from RNAcentral.
UUCCAGACUCCUACGGGAGGCAGCAGUGGGGAAUAUUGCACAAUGGGGGAAACCCUGAUGCAGCGACGCCGCGUGAGUGAAGAAGUAUUUCGGUAUGUAAAGCUCUAUCAGCAGGAAAGAAAAUGACGGUACCUGACUAAGAAGCCCCGGCUAACUACGUGCCAGCAGCCGCGGUAAUACGUAGGGGGCAAGCGUUAUCCGGAUUUACUGGGUGUAAAGGGAGCGUAGACGGUGAAGCAAGUCUGAAGUGAAAGGCGGGGGCUCAACCCCCGGACUGCUUUGGAAACUGUUUGACUGGAGUGCAGGAGAGGUAAGUGGAAUUCCUAGUGUAGCGGUGAAAUGCGUAGAUAUUAGGAGGAACACCAGUGGCGAAGGCGGCCUACUGGACUGUAACUGACGUUGAGGCUCGAAAGCGUGGGGAGCAAACAGGAUUAGAUACCCCCGUAC